ACAGCAUACCGUAAAGAUAUACGCUAUUGCUACAUGAAUUAACGUAUAUCACCACUGAUCUUACUGACUGUUUGUUAAUGUGCAAAAACAAAAUGUGAACACGUUCUAAAUCACCUGUUUCGAUUUGGCAACGUGAUAGUUCGUGUGACGUCACCUAUAUUCGUGAGUCUGUUCCAUGAAACUACUUCCUGUAGCAUAAUGGCUUAAAUCAGCCUUGUAUGGCUACAAAAGUGCAUCUAGUCCAUCUAAAUGCAUUGUAUAUUACUACACAGCCGUGACUCGAAGUAAAAUAACUUCUGUCACUGGUGGAGUGCAAUUUCCCCACGUUCCACCGACCGUAUCCUCGUGCGAGAGACUACUUCCGGUAUGACGUCACUUUGUUGACAGUUUGAUCGGUUGUAGAUUUUCUGAUACGAGAGUGAAAGCCGGUUCGAGCCGAGAUAUGCUUCUCCAGCAGUCAACAGGUGCCCUUUGCUGUAUCCCGACUGAAUGCUGAUGAUCUGUGCAGGCAGCAGCAGCAACAACAACAGCGAACAGCAAGCCAGCAUAAGUACAUUAGUAUCAAAUAUAUACAACAUGAAUGACUACAUAUAUCAAACAGAUUAAAAAGGUAUAAAGUGUACCUUGAUCGUUUAAAAAAGUUGAUCUGUUUAUCUCCAGCCAGAGAAUUUGAUUGCACGAUUUAAUCAUCAGCGUAACAUGAACCUCUCCCCAAACUACAGUCGGAGAUGAAGCCGAAAGACAGCCCUUUGAUGUUGCAGCAUUAAUAUCCAAUCUGACCACCAACACAUCGUAAACAGCACACAAUGUAAAUGCAUUGUCAGCAGUCUUCUAAUAUCUGUUACCAAAGAGCUGCCUUUCAAACAUCAGCAAGAUUAAACCUUACUCCAUCAUUCAAAUCUACAUCAAGAGGCAACUUUCUUCAUUCAAUCCUCUUUUGUCCAUUAUCAAUACGUUUCCUCGACAACUGUGUGACUCUUGUAUACAUACAUUCUUUCUAGAAAACUACAGAACACAUUUAUAUCAAAUCGCAUCCUUCUUCGGUCUUGCUCAGGGUCCAUGAUGUUGCGGUCAGCAUUUGAAGCAGGUGUUAUACAUGAUGUUGAUGAAGCUGGGUGGGUGAUGUGUUGCAGGGUUAACUUAAUGCAGUGUUGGACUCCGAUGGGUAAUCUCACCGCAUGAAGUAAUGACACCAUCAACCCUACCCUACAUAGAUCUGACUGACCUAGUUACUAGAUGAAGCAGAUGGACACUGGACAGCAAUGGCGUGACACAGCAUCAUGGACCGUGGACUGUAGUGGGAGAGGUUGAAGCUGCUUCAGGCAGAUACUGCCCAGUGGAAGGUAUCAUCAGUCAUCUCCUGUACCCACAAGGUCACAAGAUGUCAUUUCCGGUCUCUCAAAAGUCAUAAAGGUGUCAUCUAUGACGUCACUUCCGGUAUUGGUUCCGAUCGUGACGUCACUUAUUCCACUUGUGAUGUCACUUCAAGUCAAUAGGAAAGCCCGAAGUGAUUCAGGUUUUUAGAAGUUACCACUUUGGUGAAACCCACAAGCUCGGAUGUGCUGCUUACAAAUCUAGUAAACAUUACCAGGGCGAACCAGGAUUCAAACCCACGGCAAACUGCGGCACCUUAGACGACUGGGCACCCCGUGCCCCCACAGCACCAUGAUGUGACAGACACUGACAGCAUAUACUUACGCAUACACAUUAUGCUGCAGGUUUGGUGUUCCUGGCUCGGAGACCUGCUGUUGACUGGCUGGGGUACUGCCAUCUGACACACUUGGGGACAGCGACUCGUUAGACGUACUGUGGCGCCGAUGUUUACCAUCAGCCUCACCUAGAUAAUUCUGGAACACAUAACACAAACACUCCUUUCAUCACUCAAUAUGUCCACACUACCUAGUAAGUUGAAUGCUGACUUUCGUGGAACCUCGAUAGCCUGGAAAUAAUUUAGGGACAAUGUUGAACAUGAAACUCAUUAUUGCCGGACACUUGUUUAUCCAAGCCACUGAUUUCAGCAAGCAAGUCAUCUCUAUGAACACAGUAGGUAGAUUUACGUAGUCAGUAGUGAUGGGUAUUGGCCUUUUGUAUUGCCAUAAAUUGCAAUAAUGAUUCAUGUAUUGCGAUACAUACCACGAUAUAUUGCAUGCCUUCUUUCAUUUGUAAUUUGUAACAAAAUAAUAAAAAAGGUCACAUACAUCACACUUCCCCUGCAGUUUUUUGACAACUUUGUAGUAGUCCACCAUUUUGUUGGAUGUUACUCUGACCACAACACAAACGUAAUAGACAGAUCAUAUACAGGAGGCUGGUCGUGAAUAAAUUUGCUUCUUCGAUCACAGGAAUCAGAUGCUAAUUUCAUAAUUUCAACUGGAGUUGUCACUGAUGUACAUUUUGCCAACAAGAUGAAAAUAUGCAUGAUUUUGAAAAACCCAAUAUACACCAGUAUUUUCCAAACAUAUUGUCGGAAGUUUUCAUACGUAAUUCAAAUUGUGGUAUACUGGCAACACCUAUAGCCGUCAGACAGAGCAAGUAAGGUUUUGGGACAAUCCUUAAGAACUCUCCAGUAUAAUGUUAUAUGUUUACGGACCUACUGAUUGACAAGAGUGAUCUAACUGACGUGUCUGUGUGUCCACCUGCCCCCUGUGUCUGUACUUGGAAUCAUAUUGUUUAAAUGGCAUCAACGUGUUUUCACUCACCUCAAACUUUUGCAGAUCUUGCCGUAGAUCAUCUAUCUUUUGAGCAUUUUCUUCUAUUUUCUUAUCUAAGGUACUUGGAUCUCCUAGAGCCGGGUUGUUUGCAUAAACAUCUUUCAUCUUCAACAUGCCUUCCCUGUAACAGCAAGCCAUGGAUACAGUCAAACACUGUUGUGUUGAAGUUGAGAGACCUAUGUAAAUACUGAGGUUCCACACAACCCAAAAUGAUAAAUAAAGAAGGAACAUGCAGGGACAAUGCUUUAACUUCCAGACAACAACCGCACUCAGCAAUAUUCCAGCUAUAUGACGGCGAUCUGUAAAUAAUCAAGUCUGG
RNAcentral lists this long non-coding RNA (3027 nucleotides) under Haliotis rufescens (red abalone). RNAcentral describes it as "uncharacterized LOC124141810, transcript variant X1". The record is from RNAcentral. Lineage: Eukaryota; Metazoa; Mollusca; Gastropoda; Lepetellida; Haliotidae.